RNAcentral lists this transfer RNA (77 nucleotides) under Desulfuromonadaceae bacterium. Its description in RNAcentral is "tRNA-Arg". It matches the Rfam family "tRNA". Rfam says of the family: Transfer RNA (tRNA) molecules are approximately 80 nucleotides in length. RNAcentral also lists the same sequence under 1 other name. The record is from RNAcentral. Lineage: Bacteria; Pseudomonadati; Thermodesulfobacteriota; Desulfuromonadia; Desulfuromonadales; Desulfuromonadaceae.
GCGCCCGUAGUUCAGCUGGAUAGAGCACCAGGCUUCGAACCUGGGUGUCGGGAGUUCGAAUCUCUCCGGGCGCGCCA